AGCAGCCGCGGUAAUUCCAGCUCCAAUAGCGUAUAUUAAAGUUGUUGCAGUUAAAAAGCUCGUAGUUGAAUUCCGGGGUUAGUAGGUUGGUCAUGCCUCUGGUAUGUACUGGUCUCACUGAUUCCUCCUUCCUGAUGAGCCGUAAUGCCAUUAAUUUGGUGUUGCGGGGAAUUUGGACUGUUACUUUGAAAAAAUUAGAGUGUUUAAAGCAAGCUAACGCUUGAAUACAUUAGCAUGGAAUAAUGAAAUAGGACGUUCGAUCCUAUUUUGUUGGUUUCUAGGAUUGACGUAAUGAUUAAUAGGGAUAGUUGGGGGCAUUAGUAUUCAAUUGUCAGAGGUGAAAUUCUUGGAUUUAUUGAAGACUAACUACUGCGAAAGCAUUUGCCAAGGAUGUUUUCAUUAAUCAAGAACGAAAGUUAGGGGAUCGAAGACGAUCAGAUACCGUCGUAGUCUUAACCAUAAACUAUGCCGACUAGGGAUCGGAUGAUGUUAAUUUUUUAAUGACUC
This 507-nucleotide ribosomal RNA is filed under the name uncultured Glomeromycotina. RNAcentral's name for it is "SSU rRNA". It matches the Rfam family "Eukaryotic small subunit ribosomal RNA", at positions 569 to 1077 of the family's 1831-position model. The record is from RNAcentral. Lineage: Eukaryota; Fungi; Glomeromycota.